Molecule: ribosomal RNA, 158 nt
Filed under: Biatoropsis usnearum
Lineage: Eukaryota; Fungi; Basidiomycota; Tremellomycetes; Tremellales; Tremellaceae
Description: 5.8S ribosomal RNA
Rfam family: 5.8S ribosomal RNA
About the family: 5.8S ribosomal RNA (5.8S rRNA) is a component of the large subunit of the eukaryotic ribosome. It is transcribed by RNA polymerase I as part of the 45S precursor that also contains 18S and 28S rRNA.
Source: RNAcentral
AAACCUAAUAAAACUUUCAACAACGGAUCUCUUGGCUCUUGCAUCGAUGAAGAACGCAGCGAAAUGCGAUAAGUAAUGUGAAUUGCAGAAUUCAGUGAAUCAUCGAAUCUUUGAACGCACCUUGCGCCUUUUGGUAUUCCGAAAGGCAUGCCUGUUUG